This 460-nucleotide ribosomal RNA is filed under the name uncultured bacterium. RNAcentral's name for it is "partial 16S ribosomal RNA". It matches the Rfam family "Bacterial small subunit ribosomal RNA", at positions 338 to 795 of the family's 1533-position model. The record is from RNAcentral.
CCUACGGGAGGCAGCAGUGAGGAAUAUUGGUCAAUGGACGCAAGUCUGAACCAGCCAUGCCGCGUGCAGGAAGACGGCUCUAUGAGUUGUAAACUGCUUUUGUACGAGGGUAAAUCCCGAUACGUGUAUCGGGUUGAAAGUAUCGUACGAAUAAGGAUCGGCUAACUCCGUGCCAGCAGCCGCGGUAAUACGGAGGAUCCAAGCGUUAUCCGGAUUUAUUGGGUUUAAAGGGUGCGUAGGCGGAUUGAUAAGUUAGAGGUGAAAUGUCCGGGCUCAACUCGGGAACUGCCUCUAAUACUGUUGAUCUAGAGAGUAGAUGCGGUAGGCGGAAUGUAUGGUGUAGCAGUGAAAUGCUUAGAGAUCAUACAGAACACCGAUUGCGAAGGCAGCUUACCAAUCUAUAUCUGACGUUGAGGCACGAAAGCGUGGGGAGCAAACAGGAUUAGAUACCCUUGUAGUC